UGAACUGUGCCUGAUGCUGAGCAUCCAGUGA
RNAcentral lists this non-coding RNA (31 nucleotides) under Homo sapiens (human). Lineage: Eukaryota; Metazoa; Chordata; Mammalia; Primates; Hominidae. The record is from RNAcentral.